RNAcentral lists this ribosomal RNA (274 nucleotides) under uncultured bacterium. RNAcentral's name for it is "partial 16S ribosomal RNA". It matches the Rfam family "Bacterial small subunit ribosomal RNA", at positions 523 to 796 of the family's 1533-position model. The record is from RNAcentral.
AUACGAAGGUCCCAAGCGUUAUUCGGAAUCACUGGGUGUAAAGAGUACGUAGGCGGUUCGGUAAGUCAGGUGUGAAAUCCCGAAGCUCAACUUCGGAACUGCAUCCGAUACUGCCAGACUAGAGUAAUGGAGAGGCAGGUGGAAUUCUCGGUGUAGCAGUGAAAUGCGUGGAUAUCGAGAGGAAGACCAAUGGCGAAGGCAGCCUGCUGGACAUUUACUGCCGCUGAGGUACGAAGGCUAGGGGAGCGAAAGGGAUUAGAAACCCCAGUAGUCC